This 253-nucleotide ribosomal RNA is filed under the name uncultured bacterium. RNAcentral describes it as "partial 16S ribosomal RNA". It matches the Rfam family "Bacterial small subunit ribosomal RNA", at positions 524 to 776 of the family's 1533-position model. The record is from RNAcentral.
UACGUAGGGCGCAAGCGUUGUCCGGAAUUAUUGGGCGUAAAGAGCUCGUAGGCGGCUUGUCACGUCGGAUGUGAAAGCCCGGGGCUUAACCCCGGGUCUGCAUUCGAUACGGGCAGGCUAGAGUUCGGUAGGGGAGAUCGGAAUUCCUGGUGUAGCGGUGAAAUGCGCAGAUAUCAGGAGGAACACCGGUGGCGAAGGCGGAUCUCUGGGCCGAAACUGACGCUGAGGAGCGAAAGCGUGGGGAGCAAACAGG